GCCGGGGUAGCUCAGUUGGUUAGAGCGUCUGACUGUGGAUCAGAAGGCCGAGGGUUCGAGUCCCUCCUCCGGUA
RNAcentral lists this transfer RNA (74 nucleotides) under Phycisphaerae bacterium. RNAcentral's name for it is "tRNA-His". It matches the Rfam family "tRNA". Rfam says of the family: Transfer RNA (tRNA) molecules are approximately 80 nucleotides in length. Their secondary structure includes four short double-helical elements and three loops (D, anti-codon, and T loops). RNAcentral also lists the same sequence under 3 other names. Lineage: Bacteria; Pseudomonadati; Planctomycetota; Phycisphaerae. The record is from RNAcentral.